This 2665-nucleotide long non-coding RNA is filed under the name Homo sapiens (human). Its description in RNAcentral is "HSALNT0079956". Lineage: Eukaryota; Metazoa; Chordata; Mammalia; Primates; Hominidae. The record is from RNAcentral.
AUUAGAGAUUACCACAGAGAAGGAACUUAUCUGCAAUAGCUCUGGGACCAUGUUUAUUACCAUGGCAACCAGUGUGAAAGAUCCAACAGAGGUCUGUGGAUCAACACACAGAUGACUGUAAAAUGAGAAUAUGCAGCAAAAACACGGUACCCCUCCAAGAAGGCAUGGAAUGAUAGGAACCUUAUGCAUUUUAUAGCCUCUUCAUGGUGUGUAUAAUUUCACCAGAGAAAUAGAUGAGCAACAUUCAAAGAACAUUGUUCAAAUAUUUCACAGACUUAUGCCGAAGCUAAGAGGAUGUCCUUCAAGAGUCUUAAACUGCUUGGACAGGAAGUCGGCAGCUGGUAACUUCUUUAGGGUGAAUCCAUAAACACCAUGAAUGUCCACUUGAGACCUGAAAUGCACAAAGUUGAAGCAGGUACUAAGAGUACGGCGAAGCUUGGGAGAAAAAAAUGCAGUACUGUACCAUACUGACUUUGUGACAUGCUAAAUUCUUGAUCACCAAUCCAAAACAGGCCCUGGAGUGAGUUGUCAAGGGACCUCCUGGUUAUUGCGGCCAUCUGGAAACACUGGCUUUGACCCAACAACAGGCACAAGCUGCACACAACUUCAUAAGGAAUGAUCCACCUAACUCAGAAGACAAUUUAUUUUUCCCCAUGCACUUCAGCUAAUUCUCCAGUGAACCUAUUUUUACAACAAUAGCUCUUCUCUCCUGACUCUCUUUGGUCUCCCUCAACCCUCUCUUCUUAUCCUUUAUUUCUUCAUUGCACUUACUCAAGUGUCCAUUUGCAUAUAUCCUCUAUUUUUCUGGAUAUUUCUUUCUUAUGUCCCCUGACUAUGCAUACAGUUAACAGCCAUUCGGCCAACAGUGCUCAUUUCCCUCUCUGUACCUUAGGACAGUCACUGUCUCUGUCCCCAAGCAGGAUAAGAAUGCCACUGAGAUUUACAGCCAGGAAUCAAUCAAAUCCAUCAGAAUGCUUACCUAAACUAAGGUACUUUGCUUGCCCCGUUUGUGGUAACCAUCUGAAGAUGAAAAACUUAGCACUAUGCUUCUAACAUGUUAUCCCCAAAUAUCCAAGACUGUUCGUAUUUAAAUAUUGAUGCUUGCCCCAAUUUAGCAUAGGCAGCAUAACCUACUGACACCUUUCACAAGAAUAUUAGCUGCAGUACUUUGGAAUUACUCUUUACUUCAUUAGAAGGGAAAUUAUUCAUUUUCAUCUUUACCUUAUUCCCCAAUGAUGCCUCCAAAAUUUAAAGCCAUUUCCUUAACUUUGAUCCAUCCUGUAAUGAAGGAAGGUUUACUACCACCGAGACUAUCAGAAAUAACGUGUCAUAAACUCUGAAAAUCAAUCCAAAGACAACUUUCUAAAAUGAGUUAUACAAUACCAACACCCUAUAUAGUCACAUCUGGAGGCAAAGAAAGAAACAUGAAUCCUCAUUUUCACCUCCAGCUUCAUGACCUUCACAAUAACACUGUGAGACACUAUUAUAAGUUUCUCAAUGAUAGUCCUGAUUAAUAUUAGAAUUGCAUUUAUGUUUUGAGAUUCAAACCAGAUUGCAAAGGAGUAAGUAAAGAUGCUCUCACUGAGUUCUGUAAUUAAAUAUUUAAUAUCAACUUUGAGAAACUCAGCAAAGGGCAAGUCCUUCUAAAAGACACUUUAUGUCAAACAGCAGAAAUGAUAAUCUCCUGGGUAUAAGUAAUUUGCUGAUUAUUUCACUUUUUAUUACAAGCCCAGAUGAUAUAAGCCAACAACAAUGCUGAUGGUGCAUCCAACACAUCUUUUUCUCUUAGGUCACUCUGCUCAUUGGUGCUGCUAAUGUAGCAUACAUGAUACAGUCUGUAUGCUGAACAAAAUCUAAAUAGCCUCGCAUAGUUAUUGAGUAGAAAGGGAGAAGAACUGAGUAUGUUUUUUUUGUUUUACAUAUUUUAGAUUUAUAAGUUGAGAUUCACUUCAAUGAAUCAGCAUAGUCUGCUUCAUAAGCAGAAAUGGCAACAACCUCUUUGCAGUUUGAACAAAAACUGGUAAAAGCUGCAUCACCAAGGAAUUCUGACAUCAAAAUAUGGAAACCACUGAAAGCCUCUCUCCUUCUCUCCUAAACUUGUGACAUUAACCCCAUGCAUAGUUUGCCCCUGAUUUCAGUACUGAAAUUUCCCUAUCAUCUGUUAGUAAGGAUCUCCUGGUAACUAAAAAUAAUCAUCUCUUCUUUGGAUCUAGCUUUCUUAGCUUCUCUGAAUUUAUUAGACCAAAAUUUGCCUCUUAAAAUUCUUUCCCUUUCCGCUGCUACUAGUCUUGCUCUCUUCUAAUUCUUUUCCACAUAGCUGCCAAGUAAAAUUAUACCAUCUUGGUACUUUUCCUGUCGCUCUAAUUAUCUUUCACUGCCUUAUCUUCUUCCUACAUCCUAAAUUAAAAAGACCUUCUCCAAGGAUUUGUCUUCCAAUUGUUUUCUCUUAUCUUCUUUCACUCUGCCUCUUAGUGGUCUCACCCCUUUCCACAAGGUCAAAUUCAAUUUUUAUGCACAUAUUUCCCAAGCCUUCACUAUUAUCCCAGUUAUCUCCUAAAACUAUUUAUUUACCAAAAAAUGCACUGUAAAUAUUCUAUGUGACAAGCAUAGUGUUAGGUUUAGAAAAUGCACAACAAAGAGGAUGAGUAUUGUGAGCUGAUUCAGG